Non-coding RNA from Pelobates cultripes (western spadefoot toad), 228 nucleotides. The record is from the annotation of a GenBank genome assembly. Lineage: Eukaryota; Metazoa; Chordata; Amphibia; Anura; Pelobatidae.
AUGGGAAUUCAGUUGCACCAUAUGGCCAUGUUGUGUUAAGCUCACCACUAGAUCACAGUACCCCAAUAUCGGUGGGUCCUACUCUAAUGUUAACUCUAAUGUUAACAUUGGAAAUUAACAUGAUAAAUGCAAGAAAUACUUACUUUUGUACAUAUUGUGGUCUUUACGGCAGCACUACUACUGCAUGUUCUGGGUAAUUCUCAAAUUCCCCUUUUUCCUAGGUUUCCU